UACGGGGGGGGCAAGCGUUGUUCGGAAUUACUGGGCGUAAAGGGCUCGUAGGCGGCCAACUAAGUCAUACGUGAAAUCCCUCGGCUUAACCGGGGAACUGCGUCUGAUACUGGAUGGCUUGAGUUUGGGAGAGGGAUGCGGAAUUCCAGGUGUAGCGGUGAAAUGCGUAGAUAUCUGGAGGAACACCGGUGGUGAAGGCGGCAUCCUGGACCAACACUGACGCUGAGGAGCGAAAGCCAGGGGAGCAAACGGG
This 253-nucleotide ribosomal RNA is filed under the name uncultured bacterium. RNAcentral's name for it is "partial 16S ribosomal RNA". It matches the Rfam family "Bacterial small subunit ribosomal RNA", at positions 524 to 776 of the family's 1533-position model. The record is from RNAcentral.